GUAAAGUGGUCUCUAGAUUAUGUGUAUUCAUUUGGUGAUCGAGGACAUCAUUGGUAUUGAUUAAAAGUAAUUGUUUUUAAUUCUGGGUGAAGCAGAAGAAGCUUAUGGUUUUACAAGAAUGUUUAUUUUAAUUUUUUCUGUGGACAACUUUUCUACCUGAAAUUUUGCUCUAACUUUUAAUGAUAGCAAUGUUUUUGAAAGAUAAUUUCACUGGGGAGGUACUUUGGAAAGGAUGUUUUUCCAUUUUUCCCAGAGUUUUCCCACCAAAUGUGAAAAACAGAAAAACUGGGAAAAUCGGUACAACACUAAACAUAUAUUAUUAAAAAAUAUAUAUAAAGCUUGUUUAAUUAUUUUUGACCAUAAAAUUACAUAUAUUUAUAUAUUGUUGACAUCACUAUCGAUUAAACUCCACUCAGAAUCAUUUUUUCAUUAUCAAUGAUUUAUUGUUGCUUACAGGUAUACAUUAAAUUAUCUAUAACAGUGGCUUCACCCAUCCCCAUUAUCCAAGGACAU
Cinara cedri is the source of this 513-nucleotide non-coding RNA. Lineage: Eukaryota; Metazoa; Arthropoda; Insecta; Hemiptera; Aphididae. The record is from the annotation of a GenBank genome assembly.